RNAcentral lists this ribosomal RNA (372 nucleotides) under uncultured bacterium. Its description in RNAcentral is "bacterial SSU rRNA". It matches the Rfam family "Bacterial small subunit ribosomal RNA", at positions 8 to 382 of the family's 1533-position model. The record is from RNAcentral.
AGAGUUUGAUCCUGGCUCAGAUUGAACGCUGGCGGCAUGCCUUACACAUGCAAGUCGAACGGUAACGCGGGGGCAACCCUGGCGACGAGUGGCGAACGGGUGAGUAAUACAUCGGAACAUAUCCAGUAGCGGGGGAUAACCUAUCGAAAGAUGGACUAAUACCGCAUACGAUCUACGGAUGAAAGCAGGGGACCGCAAGGCCUUGCACUAUUGGAGUGGCCGAUGUCGGAUUAGCUAGUUGGUGGGGUAAAAGCUUACCAAGGCGACGAUCCGUAGCUGGUCUGAGAGGACGAUCAGCCACACUGGAACUGAGACACGGUCCAGACUCCUACGGGAGGCAGCAGUGGGGAAUUUUGGACAAUGGGCGCAAGC